This 117-nucleotide non-coding RNA is filed under the name Homo sapiens (human). Lineage: Eukaryota; Metazoa; Chordata; Mammalia; Primates; Hominidae. The record is from Rfam by way of RNAcentral.
GCCAGGUGUGGUGGCUCACGCCUGUAAUCCCAGCACUUUGGGAGGCCGAGGCGGGUGGAUCACCUGAGGUCAGGAGUUCAAGACCAGCCUGACCAACAUGGUGAAACCCUGUCUCUA